RNAcentral lists this long non-coding RNA (284 nucleotides) under Panax ginseng (ginseng). RNAcentral's name for it is "long non-coding RNA (PGIN_LNC008688)". The record is from RNAcentral. Lineage: Eukaryota; Viridiplantae; Streptophyta; Magnoliopsida; Apiales; Araliaceae.
AAAGUUCGUCGUCUAUCUUUUAUCCCUGUAACAUCAAUCAAUAUAUAUCUGGAAUCAAAUAUUCAUCUUUGCGCUACAGGCCAAAGAUAUUCAUCAGUUGGUCAUGUUCAUCUAAACACCUGUUCAUCUUUGCACUACGGGCCAAAGAUAUUCAUCAGAAAUCAUUCAUCUUUGCACUACAGGCCAAAGAUAUUCCAUAAUAUCAUCAUUUAAGACUGAGGAUGAUGAAAAAUAUUUUUUAAAGAAACGAAUCCAGUGAAUCAAAAUGACAAGGACUAAGGAUU